This 499-nucleotide ribosomal RNA is filed under the name uncultured bacterium. RNAcentral's name for it is "partial 16S ribosomal RNA". It matches the Rfam family "Bacterial small subunit ribosomal RNA", at positions 28 to 507 of the family's 1533-position model. The record is from RNAcentral.
GACGAACGCUGGCGGCGUGCUUAACACAUGCAAGUCGAACGGGCCUGUCUUCUUUUUUGGGGGUGGGUUGAGUGGCGAACGGGUGAGUAUCACGUGAGUAACCUGCCCUUCGGUCCUGGAUAACCGCUUGAAAGGGCGGCUAAUACGGGGUGGUCCGGUUGGUCCGCAUGGGCUGGUCGGGAUAGAUUCACUGUUUUUGGUGUUUCGGCGGGGGAUGGGCUCGCGGCCUAUCAGCUCGUUGGUGGGGUGAUGGCCUACCAAGGCGGUGACGGGUAGCCGGCCUGAGAGGGUGGGCGGCCACACUGGGACUGAGAUACGGCCCAGACUCCUGCGGGAGGCAGCAGUGGGGGGUAGUGCACAAUGGGCGGAAGCCUGAUGCAGCGACGUCGCGUGAGGGAUGGAGGCCUUCGGGUUGUGAACCUCUGUUUCCGGUGGUGAAGGCCCUGUCCGUGUGGUGGGGUUGACGGUAGCCGGGGAUGAAGCGCCGGCUAACUACGUG